RNAcentral lists this ribosomal RNA (533 nucleotides) under Pythium insidiosum. RNAcentral's name for it is "eukaryotic LSU rRNA". The stretch from base 1 to 81 matches the Rfam family "5.8S ribosomal RNA", at positions 75 to 154 of the family's 154-position model. The record is from RNAcentral. Lineage: Eukaryota; Oomycota; Peronosporomycetes; Pythiales; Pythiaceae.
CAGGAUUCAGUGAGUCAUCGAAAUUUUGAACGCAUAUUGCACUUUCGGGUUAUGCCUGGAAGUAUGCCUGUAUCAGUGUCCGUACAUCAAACUUGCCUUUCUUUUUCUGUGUAGUCAGGAAUGGAGAUGGCAGAAUGUGAGGUGUCUCGAGCCGUCCCCUCUUUUGGGAGAUAGCACGAGUCCCUUUAAAUGUACGUUGAUCUCUCUUGUGUCUUAGUGAAGUGUAAUGCUCGAACGCAGUGAUCUGUUCAGAUUGCUUUGCGCUGGUGGGCGACUUCGGAAAGGACAUUAAGGAGAUGACCUCUAUUGGCGGUAUGUUAGGCUUCGGCCCGACGUUGCAGCUGACGGGGUGUUGUUUCCGUUCUUUCCUUGAGGUGUACCUGUCGUGUGUGAGGUCGAACUGGACGCUGGUUAUUGUGUAGUAGAGUAUUGCUGCGCUUUGACGCCUUCGGGUAAAGAGGACGACACUAAUUUGGGAACAGAAACUGCGGCUUGCUGCGGAUUCUGAACUUUUCAAAUUGGACCUGAUAUCA